Nilaparvata lugens (brown planthopper) is the source of this 677-nucleotide long non-coding RNA. RefSeq lists it as uncharacterized. The record is from RefSeq and is a predicted model, not a curated record. The transcript is spliced from 3 exons. Lineage: Eukaryota; Metazoa; Arthropoda; Insecta; Hemiptera; Delphacidae.
GGUGGACGGUACAGUCAUAGAGAGGGUCCAUAAGUAUAGAUAUCUGGGGACGUGGGUAGAGGAAAGUGGGGAUUCGACGGGAGAGAUAAGAAAAAGGAUUGAGAUGGCCAGAUCGACAUUUGUAAAAAUGAAAAAAUUGUUCACGAGCCGGGACAUAAAUAUAGAAUUGAAAAUGAGGAUGUUACGCUGUUACGUGUUUUCCACUCUCUUGUAUGGGAUGGAAUCAUGGACCCUCAAAAAGAGCCAUAUGGAUAAGUUGGAAGCCUUUGAGAUGUGGUGCUACCGCAGGAUGUGGCGGAUUCCAUGGACGGAUAGAGUCACCAACAUGGAAGUCCUAGGGAAAAUGAAGAAACAAUGUGAAAUUGUUUACACCAUAAAAAAGAGAAAACUCCUGUAUCUUGGACAUCUUAUGAGAAGCCACAAAUAUAUAACUCUCCAGAAUAUAGUCCAAGGAAAAAUCAGCGGAAAAGGAGUGUUGGAAGGCGACGUGUUUCCUGGCUUAAAAUUUUGAGGGAUUGGUUUGACUGCAGCAGCAAAGACUUGUUUCGAGCGGCAGUGAAUAAGAUCCGGAUUGCUGUGCUGAUAGCGAACCUCCGAUAGGAGACGCACUAGAAGAAGAAGAAGAAGAAGAAGAAGAAGAAGAAGAAGAAGAAGAAGAAGAAGAAGAAGAAGAAGAA